CCUCCCACCCGUGUAUACCGUACCUUGUUGCUUCGGCGAGCCCGCCCCCUUCUCGUUAGGGGGGCACAGCGCUCGCCGGAGACACCAACGUGAACACUGUCUGAAGUUUUGUCGUCUGAGUCGAUUGUAUCGCAAUCAGUUAAAACUUUCAACAAUGGAUCUCUUGGUUCCGGCAUCGAUGAAGAACGCAGCGAAAUGCGAUAAUUAAUGUGAAUUGCAGAAUUCAGUGAAUCAUCGAGUCUUUGAACGCACAUUGCACCCCCUGGUAUUCCGGGGGGUAUGCCUGUCCGAGCGUCAUUGCUGCCCUCAAGCACGGCUUGUGUGUUGGGUCGUCGUCCCCCCGGGGACGGGCCCGAAAGGCAGCGGCGGCACCGCGUCCGGUCCUCGAGCGUAUGGGGCUUUGUCACACCGCUCUUGUAGGCCCGGCCGGCUGCUGGCCGACGCUGAAAAGCAACCAACUAUUUCUCCAGGUUGACCUCGGAUCAGGUAGGGAUACCCGCUGAACUUAAGCAUAUCAAUAAGCGGAGGAAGA
Molecule: ribosomal RNA, 532 nt
Filed under: Aspergillus melleus
Lineage: Eukaryota; Fungi; Ascomycota; Eurotiomycetes; Eurotiales; Aspergillaceae
Description: eukaryotic LSU rRNA
Rfam family: 5.8S ribosomal RNA (bases 144-297)
Source: RNAcentral